CCACCGGCAGCUCAAGUGGUAGCCGCUUUUAUUGGGCCUAAAGCGUCCGUAGCCGGUCUGAUAAGUCUCUGGUGAAAUCCCACAGCUUAACUGUGGGAAUUGCUGGAGAUACUAUCAUGACUCGAGGUCGGGAGAGGCUGGAGGUACUCCCAGGGUAGGGGUGAAAUCCUGUAAUCCUGGGAGGACCACCUGUGGCGAAGGCGUCCAGCUGGAACGAACCUGACGGUGAGGGACGAAAGCCAGGGGCGCGAACCGGAUUAGAUACCCGGGUAGUCCUGGCCGUAAACGAUGUGGACUUGGUGUUGGGAUGGCUUCGAGCUGCCCCAGUGCCGAAGGGAAGCUGUUAAGUCCACCGCCUGGGAAGUACGGCCGCAAGGCUGAAACUCAAAGGAAUUGACGGGG
RNAcentral lists this ribosomal RNA (402 nucleotides) under uncultured bacterium. RNAcentral's name for it is "partial 16S ribosomal RNA". It matches the Rfam family "Archaeal small subunit ribosomal RNA", at positions 473 to 873 of the family's 1478-position model. The record is from RNAcentral.